UUCUCUCCUGCAGCAGUGCUCUGGUAGCCAUCAUUUGCAUCUCAGCUGAUUUCUUCAGCUUUGAAAUCACUUGAAUUCAAGUGCUUUGCUUUGUGGCUUAUUUAGAAACUCCCAGGAUGUCCUUUGCAGGUACUUGGUCUGUCCCUCCUGAACCUACGUAAACUGGAUGCAAACAGCACCUACAUUUCCCUCUGCUCUGUUCAGUGUCUUGCUAAAGCACUGCAUAACAUUUAGAAGAUUGCCAAGUCUGCCUCCAGCCGAGCCUGCUUUGGAAGACCCCUGUGGACCUCAUUUGCACAGGUGCAGCCCCAAGCACAGAGGAAGAUUAACAGCACGUGUACCUUGAGCUCUCAGCCAAGCUCCCUGUCAGAGCUGAGAACUGCAGUGAGACACACUAAAAACUGCAGCAGUUAUUUCAGGCAGGAGAAAGUACAGGAGAGGGCUUGCACACAUUAUGUAUAUAUAUUAUACAUGUAUAUAAGAGACUGAUUGUUAGUGAAAAGACUUAAAGGACUUCAGCAAGCUUUGGAUCAGAUCAUAUUCUGGUUUUUUAACUUUGGGUACAAAGCUUUUGCUAGUACAAGCUACAGAAUAAUAACCAUGACAUAAGAAAAUGUUCCAAAUAGCUUUAAAAAACCCUGCAAACCCAGACUGGGGACCCAAAGUGACAAUGGCUUCUCUGGAUUAUUACAAUGGGAGAUUGAAAUUCUUUAUUGGCAAAAAUCAUAAAAUGUAAUCAGGUGUUUCCAGCAGAAAUGCACACCUGCAAGGCUCCACUGCCAGCUUGUACAGCAGAUGCCCAUGCCAGGGACACCUGCACAUCAUAAAAAGAUGGCAUAAUGCUUCCAGGCACAAGGUUUACCUGGAGAGGAGGUCAUUCAAGGGUGCAGCUAUUUCCCAGAUAAGCACACGGCGUGUUUGUCCUUCAGCCUCGUGCCCUUCUGUGGGUAAGUUACAAAACCAGUGGUGAAGUGAAAGUCACCUUUCUGAUCGACUGAACCUCUUGACCAUUACAGAACAAAAGUAAUUACCUCAGUGACUUCUGUGGGGUUUAAUUCUUUGCACAGAUAUGGAAGAAUUAAGGAAUAUCUAAUUUUAUUCUUGAGGAAAACACCAGUGGAAAUUAUAGACAAACUGAACUUCAGCAAGUGCCAAUCCUAUUUUUCACUGACUUAAUCUGGUGUACCAUGCAAAAGCUUCAAGUAAAUAGUGUAAUUAUAUUGUGUUGCAGAAAAUCAGCUCAGAUGUUUAACUAGUCACUUUGAGGUUAUGAACAUAAUGUUUUUAUUAAAAAAGAAAAAACACCGAUUUAAUGUGAAUUAAAAGGAAAAAUUUAUUAUUUGCAAACUGUGAUGACUUCUAAUUAGAAUGGCACAAUGAGUGCAUAACACACCUUGAUGAGGGCUGGAACUGUCAACAGAAACCUUUAGGAGCUAUUCUGCAAAACACUGUUAAAAUUCAAGAUUUUUCCAAGUGGAAAACAUCACAUGGACACACAUGUAUUUUCCUAUGAUAGUUUGUCUCCCUGGAGUCUUACUAAUGAGUUGUGAUUGCAAGCUGAGUCAUCUUUAGGGCCUAACAUUUCAGUUGGUGUCAAGUAAUUUGUAAAUUGCUUUUGGAAUCAUCCAAUGCAAACAUGAGAAAAAACACGCAGACUGCAUGUCCUUAUUAUUCUUGGUAACUAAAGUGGAAACAUCAUGGAAGAAAACUACUGAUAAGGGAAAUUUAGUUGUUAGAGUAAGAGCUUACUAGAAAAUUCAUGGCAGCAGUUUCAUAAUCUGAAGAUGUAGAUAAUUUUACAUGGGAGGGUAGGUACUGAUUGCCAGGAGGAGGAUGUUUUGUGUGAUUUCCAAAUCAAAGGAAAUAAAGCAGUAUUUUAAUCACCAACACCUUGUAGAACCAAGUAAACAUUCUCAUACUGAGGGGACUUAAUGCAUUAAUAAGUCUGUGACUCAGUGAAUCUCUCAGAUAAUUAUCUACAAUUCUACAUGGCAUUUUGAGGCUUUACUUUGCAGCCUCUAAACUUGGGGCUCUGAGGAUUUUUUUGCAUGCUUAUCCUGUACCAUCAUGAUGAUGGAGGUCUGCGGUGUGCUGAAAUGCAAAAAACAAUGUACUUAAGUAAAAUAAGUAUAAAUAGAAAAUACUAAUA
This is a long non-coding RNA of Passer domesticus (house sparrow), 2149 nucleotides long. RefSeq lists it as uncharacterized. The record is from RefSeq and is a predicted model, not a curated record. NCBI's taxonomy places the organism in Eukaryota, Metazoa, Chordata, Aves, Passeriformes, Passeridae. The transcript has 3 exons.